GCGCGGGGCAACCUGGCGGCGAGUGGCGAACGGGUGAGUAAUAUAUCGGAACGUACCCAAGAGUGGGGGAUAACGUAGCGAAAGUUACGCUAAUACCGCAUACGAUCUAUGGAUGAAAGUGGGGGAUCGCAAGACCUCAUGCUCCUGGAGCGGCCGAUAUCUGAUUAGCUAGUUGGUGAGGUAAAGGCUCACCAAGGCGACGAUCAGUAGCUGGUCUGAGAGGACGACCAGCCACACUGGAACUGAGACACGGUCCAGACUCCUACGGGAGGCAGCAGUGGGGAAUUUUGGACAAUGGGCGCAAGCCUGAUCCAGCAAUGCCGCGUGAGUGAAGAAGGCCUUCGGGUUGUAAAGCUCUUUUGUCAGGGAAGAAACGGCUGGGGCUAAUAUCCCCGGCUAAUGACGGUACCUGAAGAAUAAGCACCGGCUAACUACGUGCCAGCAGCCGCGGUAAUACGUAGGGUGCAAGCGUUAAUCGGAAUUACUGGGCGUAAAGCGUGCGCAGGCGGUUUUGUAAGUCUGACGUGAAAGCCCCGGGCUCAACCUGGGAAUUGCGUUGGAGACUGCAAGGCUUGAAUCUGGCAGAGGGGGGUAGAAUUCCACGUGUAGCAGUGAAAUGCGUAGAGAUGUGGAGGAACACCGAUGGCGAAGGCAGCCCCCUGGGUCAAGAUUGACGCUCAUGCACGAAAGCGUGGGGAGCAAACAGGAUUAGAUACCCUGGUAGUCCACGCCCUAAACGAUGUCUACUAGUUGUCGGGUCUUAAUUGACUUGGUAACGCAGCUAACGCGUGAAGUAGACCGCCUGGGGAGUACGGUCGCAAGAUUA
This 826-nucleotide ribosomal RNA is filed under the name Massilia sp. RNAcentral describes it as "bacterial SSU rRNA". It matches the Rfam family "Bacterial small subunit ribosomal RNA", at positions 72 to 896 of the family's 1533-position model. Lineage: Bacteria; Pseudomonadati; Pseudomonadota; Betaproteobacteria; Burkholderiales; Oxalobacteraceae. The record is from RNAcentral.